RNAcentral lists this long non-coding RNA (340 nucleotides) under Elaeis guineensis (African oil palm). Its description in RNAcentral is "long non-coding RNA (EGUI_LNC071745)". The record is from RNAcentral. Lineage: Eukaryota; Viridiplantae; Streptophyta; Magnoliopsida; Arecales; Arecaceae.
GUCCCUAAUUGAAUCUACUAUUAAAUAGAGAUUUAAUUUUUUUUGAGAUUUGUAUGAUUGUUAUAAAAGGAUACUUGAUAGAUAUUAAAGAUCUUGAUGAUAGAAACUUUAAAAAAGAUAAUGAUUUGAAAUUCUUAUAUAUUCUGAUUAUGUCCUAAUUUGGUGAAGCAUCGAAAGAUUUUCUUAUUGAUUUUACUUAUAGGAUUUUGAUUUGAAAUUAUCUAAUUGAAUUGAUAUGAGAAUUAAGAUUUGAUUUAUAUUUGAUUAUAGUAGACCUAUAUGAUGGUUUUGAAUGUGAUAUUGGACUCAAGGGUUAAUCAAGAUUAUUGUAUACCAGCAA